AUUGAACGCUGGCGGAAUGCUUUACACAUGCAAGUCGAACGGCAGCACGGGGCAACCUGGUGGCGAGUGGCGAACGGGUGAGUAAUACAUCGGAACGUGCCCAAUCGUGGGGGAUAACGUAGCGAAAGCUACGCUAAUACCGCAUACGAUCUACGGAUGAAAGCGGGGGAUCGCAAGACCUCGCGCGAAUGGAGCGGCCGAUGGCAGAUUAGGUAGUUGGUGGGGUAAAGGCUCACCAAGCCUGCGAUCUGUAGCUGGUCUGAGAGGACGACCAGCCACACUGGAACUGAGACACGGUCCAGACUCCUACGGGAGGCAGCAGUGGGGAAUUUUGGACAAUGGGCGCAAGCCUGAUCCAGCCAUUCCGCGUGCAGGAUGAAGGCCCUCGGGUUGUAAAGCACUUUAAGCGAGGAGGAGGCUACUUGGAUUAAUACUCUAGGAUAGUGGACGUUACUCGCAGAAUAAGCACCGGCUAACUCUGUGCCAG
RNAcentral lists this ribosomal RNA (487 nucleotides) under uncultured bacterium. RNAcentral's name for it is "bacterial SSU rRNA". It matches the Rfam family "Bacterial small subunit ribosomal RNA", at positions 30 to 511 of the family's 1533-position model. The record is from RNAcentral.